ACUUAUGACGAAGUCUGACGGAGCAACGCCGCGUGAGUGAUGAAGGCUUUCGGGUCGUAAAACUCUGUUGUUAGGGAAGAACAAGUACGAGAGUAACUGCUCGUACCUUGACGGUACCUAACCAGAAAGCCACGGCUAACUACGUGCCAGCAGCCGCGGUAAUACGUAGGUGGCAAGCGUUAUCCGGAAUUAUUGGGCGUAAAGCGCGCGCAGGCGGUUUCUUAAGUCUGAUGUGAAAGCCCACGGCUCAACCGUGGAGGGUCAUUGGAAACUGGGGAACUUGAGUGCAGAAGAAAAAAGCGGAAUUCCACGUGUAGCGGUGAAAUGCGUAGAGAUGUGGAGGAACACCAGUGGCGAAGGCGGCUUUUUGGUCUGUAACUGACGCUGAGGCGCGAAAGCGUGGGGAGCAAACAGGAUUAGAUACCCUGGUAGUCCACGCCGUAAACGAUGAGUGCUAAGUGUUAGAGGGUUUCCGCCCUUUAGUGCUGCAGCUAACGCAUUAAGCACUCCGCCUGGGGAGUACGGUCGCAAGACUGAAACUCAAAGAAAAUUGACGGA
Molecule: ribosomal RNA, 558 nt
Filed under: uncultured Bacillus sp.
Lineage: Bacteria; Bacillati; Bacillota; Bacilli; Caryophanales; Bacillaceae
Description: bacterial SSU rRNA
Rfam family: Bacterial small subunit ribosomal RNA
Source: RNAcentral